GUAUUACUCCCUCCAUCCGAAAAUACUUGUCAUCAAAAUGGAUAAAAAUAGAUGUAUCUAAAACUAAAAUACGUCUAGAUACAUCUCUUUUAUUUUGAUGACAAAUAUUUCCAAACAGAGGGAGUAUGUA
Triticum urartu is the source of this 130-nucleotide non-coding RNA. The record is from Rfam. NCBI's taxonomy places the organism in Eukaryota, Viridiplantae, Streptophyta, Magnoliopsida, Poales, Poaceae.